Molecule: ribosomal RNA, 426 nt
Filed under: Acanthamoeba astronyxis
Lineage: Eukaryota; Discosea; Longamoebia; Acanthamoebidae
Description: bacterial SSU rRNA
Rfam family: Eukaryotic small subunit ribosomal RNA
Source: RNAcentral
UACUGCCACCGAAUACUUAUCUCGGGAUAAUGGAAUAGGACCCUGUCCUUCAUGUUUCGCGUUGGUUGUGCCACGUGCGUGCGCUUCGCGGUGCGCGCGCGUGGCAUGGUUUCGUCUAAAGGAGGACCAGGGUAAUGAUUAAUAGGGAUAGUUGGGGGCAUUAAUAUUUAAUUGUCAGAGGUGAAAUUCUUGGAUUUAUGAAAGAUUAACUUCUGCGAAAGCAUCUGCCAAGGAUGUUUUCAUUAAUCAAGAACGAAAGUUAGGGGAUCGAAGACGAUUAGAUACCGUCGUAGUCUUAACCAUAAACCAUGCCGACCAGCGAUUGGGAGACGUUUCACACGGGAGUGGUCCCGGGGAGAGUGCGUGGGGGUGGGGAAAUCGUGCGGUACCCUCCCCGCUUCCCUUCCCCCUUUGCCCCCAAUUGAG